RNAcentral lists this ribosomal RNA (923 nucleotides) under Melanelixia fuliginosa. RNAcentral's name for it is "SSU rRNA". It matches the Rfam family "Bacterial small subunit ribosomal RNA", at positions 356 to 1146 of the family's 1533-position model. Lineage: Eukaryota; Fungi; Ascomycota; Lecanoromycetes; Lecanorales; Parmeliaceae. The record is from RNAcentral.
GAGGAAUGUAUAGCAAUAGCUACUUGCAUCAUUACAAUGAUGAUGCAAGAUCGACUAUGUCGAAUAAAAUUCUAGGUAGAAUUAUGAUAAUGACAUUGUCUGCCUAUGUGUCUUGACCAAAUUACGUGCCAGCAGUCGCGGUAAUACGUAGAAGACUAGUGUUAUUCAUGUUUAAUCGGUUUAAAGGGUACCUAGACGGCAGAUCAAGCUUUCGAUGAAAUAUAAUUAAAGGAAAAGGACUAAUUUGCUAGAGUUACUUGUGAGGGGGUAUUAAAGUACUGCUGGUGUAGAGAUGAAAUUCUGUCAUACCUCUCUUCGAAAGAAGAAUGAUGGCACAGGUAUAGGCGAAGGCAUCCCCUUAUGUGAUAACUGACGUUGAGGGACGAAGGCUUUGUGUAGCGAACAGGAUUAGAUACCCCAGUAGUCGAAGCAGAAAAUGAUGAAUGUCAUAGAUUAGAUAUAAGUUUAUUCUAUAAAUGAAAGUGUAAGCAUUCCACCUCAUGAGUAAUUUGGCAACAUUGGAACUGAAAUCAUUAGACCGUUUCUGAAACCAGUAGUGAAGUAUGUUGUUUAAUUUGAUGAUCCGCAAAAAACCUUACCACAAUUUGAAUAUUUAUAUUUUUUUUUAUUGUUUCCUUAUUAAUUUUUUUCUAAUAACAAACGAAACGUGCGAAGAAAAAAACNUAUUGUAUAAAUGAUAAUACUGAAUGGCGCAAAUGAUAAUCCUGAAUAAAUGAAGAUCCUGAANGGUACAAAUAAUUAAUAAUUAGAAGAAAUCUAAUAAAGAGGCAAUAAGAUAUAUUUACAAGCGUUGCACGGCUGUCUUCAGUUAAUGUCGCGAGACUUUGGUUAGUUCCAUUAAAUUAACGUAAACCCUUACUUUAUUUUUAUAUAGAGUAGUUCCCCGCUAUAUUGGAUAUGAU